RNAcentral lists this ribosomal RNA (403 nucleotides) under uncultured bacterium. RNAcentral's name for it is "partial 16S ribosomal RNA". It matches the Rfam family "Bacterial small subunit ribosomal RNA", at positions 28 to 526 of the family's 1533-position model. The record is from RNAcentral.
GACGAACGCUGGCGGCGUGCCUAAUACAUGCAAGUCGAACGCAGUGGGGACGGGUGAGUAACACGUGGGUAACCUCCCAUCAGAGGGGAUAACACUUGGUAACAGGUGCUAAACCGAUACUGAUGGAUGGAACCGCGGUGCAUUAGCUUGUUGGUGAGGUAACGGCUCACCAAGGCCACGAUGCAUAGCCGCCCUGAGAGGGGGAUCGGCCACACUGGUACGUGGACACGGCCCAGACGCAGACGGGAGGCAGCAUUAGUGAAUCUUUGGCAAUGGGCGAAAGUCGUACAGAGCCACGCCGCGUGAGUGAAGAAGGGUUUCGGAUCGUAAAACUCUUUUGUGAGAGAAGCGGUAUCUAACCAGAAAGCCACGGCUAACUACGUGCCAGCAGCCGCGGUAAUUC